This 68-nucleotide transfer RNA is filed under the name Halocynthia spinosa. RNAcentral's name for it is "transfer RNA-Ser(AGY)". Lineage: Eukaryota; Metazoa; Chordata; Ascidiacea; Stolidobranchia; Pyuridae. The record is from RNAcentral.
AGGGGCUAUGUGGGUUAUUAGGAAAUUGCUAUUUUUUUAAUGUUAGGUUCGACUCCUAAUGGUUUCUG